GGGACGUUGGUCUAGUGGUAUGAUUCUCGCUUAGGGUGCGAGAGGUCGUGGGUUCGAUUCCCACACGUCCCC
Non-coding RNA from Raphidocelis subcapitata, 72 nucleotides. Lineage: Eukaryota; Viridiplantae; Chlorophyta; Chlorophyceae; Sphaeropleales; Selenastraceae. The record is from the annotation of a GenBank genome assembly.